Molecule: ribosomal RNA, 254 nt
Filed under: uncultured bacterium
Lineage: Bacteria
Description: partial 16S ribosomal RNA
Rfam family: Bacterial small subunit ribosomal RNA
Source: RNAcentral
UACGAAGGGUGCAAGCGUUACUCGGAAUUACUGGGCGUAAAGCGUGCGUUAGGCGGUUUGUUAAGUCCGUUGUGAAAGCCCUGGGCUCAACCUGGGAAUUGCAGUGGAUACUGGCGAGCUAGAGUGCGGUAGAGGAUGGUGGAAUUCCCGGUGUAGCGGUGAAAUGCGUAGAGAUCGGGAGGAACACCCGUGGCGAAGGCGGCCAUCUGGACCAGCACUGACGCUGAGGCACGAAAGCGUGGGGAGCAAACAGG